Molecule: ribosomal RNA, 806 nt
Filed under: uncultured archaeon
Lineage: Archaea
Description: bacterial SSU rRNA
Rfam family: Archaeal small subunit ribosomal RNA
Source: RNAcentral
ACGGCUCAGUAACACGUGGCUAAUCUGCCCUUAGGACGAGAACAACCCCGGGAAACUGGGGCUAACUCUCGAUAGGCGAAGAACUCUGGAAUGAGUCUUCACCUAAACAGUUCGGCGUUAUGCUCGUUGGACCGCCUAAGGAUGAGGCCGCGACCGAUCAGGUUGUUGGUGAGGUAAUGGCUCACCAAGCCUUUUACCGGUGCGGGCCGUGAGAGCGGGAGCCCGGAGAUGGGCACUGAGACAAGGGCCCAGGCCCUACGGGGCGCAGCAGUCGCGAAAACUUUGCAAUACACGCAAGUGUGACAGGGCUAUCCCGAGUGCCAUCCGCUGAGGAAGGCUUUUACCCAGUCUAGAACGCUGGGGGAAUAAGGAGAGGGCAAGUCUGGUGUCAGCCGCCGCGGUAAUACCAGCUCUCCGAGUGGUGUGGAUGUUUAUUGGGCCUAAAGCAUCCGUAGCUGGCUAAGUUAGUCCCUUGUUAAAUCCACCGAAUUAAUCGUUGGAUUGCGGGGGAUACUGCUUGGCUAGGGGACGAGAGAGGCAGACGGUAUUUUUGGGGUAGGGGUGAAAUCCUACAAUCCCAGGAAGACCACCAGUGGCGAAGGCUGUCUGCUAGAACGCGCCCGACGGUGAGGGAUGAAAGCUGGGGGAGCGAACCGGAUUAGAUACCCGGGUAGUCCCAGCUGUAAACGAUGCAGGCUAGGUGUUUGGACGGCCACGUGCCGUUCUAGUGCCGCAGGGAAGCUGUUAAGCCUGCCGCCUGGGGAGUACGAUCGCAAGAUUGAAACUUAAAGGAAUUGGCGGGGGAG